Molecule: ribosomal RNA, 1231 nt
Filed under: uncultured bacterium
Lineage: Bacteria
Description: bacterial SSU rRNA
Rfam family: Bacterial small subunit ribosomal RNA
Source: RNAcentral
AGUGGGGGAUAGCUCGGCGAAAGCCGGAUUAAUACCGCAUACGCUCUGAGGAGGAAAGCGGGGGACCUUCGGGCCUCGCGCUACAAGAGCGGCCGAUAUCAGAUUAGCUAGUUGGUGGGGUAAAAGCUUACCAAGGCGACGAUCUGUAGCUGGUCUGAGAGGACGACCAGCCACACUGGGACUGAGACACGGCCCAUACUCCUACGGGAGGCAGCAGUGGGGAAUUUUGGACAAUGGGCGAAAGCCUGAUCCAGCAAUGCCGCGUGUGUGAAGAAGGCCUUCGGGUUGUAAAGCACUUUUGUCCGGAAAGAAAUCCUCUGGGUUAAUACCUCGGGGGGAUGACGGUACCGGAAGAAUAAGCACCGGCUAACUACGUGCCAGCAGCCGCGGUAAUACGUAGGGUGCGAGCGUUAAUCGGAAUUACUGGGCGUAAAGCGUGCGCAGGCGGUUUUGUAAGACGGAUGUGAAAUCCCCGGGCUCAACCUGGGAACUGCAUUCGUGACUGCAAGGCUAGAGUAUGGCAGAGGGGGGUAGAAUUCCACGUGUAGCAGUGAAAUGCGUAGAGAUGUGGAGGAAUACCGAUGGCGAAGGCAGCCCCCUGGGCCAAUACUGACGCUCAUGCACGAAAGCGUGGGGAGCAAACAGGAUUAGAUACCCUGGUAGUCCACGCCGUAAACGAUGUCAACUAGUUGUUGGGGAUUCAUUUCCUUAGUAACGUAGCUAACGCGUGAAGUUGACCGCCUGGGGAGUACGGUCGCAAGAUUAAAACUCAAAGGAAUUGACGGGGACCCGCACAAGCGGUGGAUGAUGUGGAUUAAUUCGAUGCAACGCGAAAAACCUUACCUACCCUUGACAUGUACGGAAGUCCGCUGAGAGGUGGAUGUGCUCGAAAGAGAACCGUAACACAGGUGCUGCAUGGCUGUCGUCAGCUCGUGUCGUGAGAUGUUGGGUUAAGUCCCGCAACGAGCGCAACCCUUGUCCUUAGUUGCUACGCAAGAGCACUCUAAGGAGACUGCCGGUGACAAACCGGAGGAAGGUGGGGAUGACGUCAAGUCCUCAUGGCCCUUAUGGGUAGGGCUUCACACGUCAUACAAUGGUCGGUACAGAGGGCUGCCAAACCGCGAGGUGGAGCUAACCCCAGAAAACCCAUCGUAGUCCGGAUCGCAGUCUGCAACUCGACUGCGUGAAGCUGGAAUCGCUAGUAAUCGCGGAUCAGCAUGUCGCGGUGAAU